CUGUAUUUGGGUUUCCACUACAGAUGCAAGAAAAAAGUGUUUUCGUGCUUUCUGUCUGCCUGUGGCAGUCAAAAUUGAAUAGAGGAAUACAAUU
Molecule: small nucleolar RNA, 94 nt
Filed under: Carlito syrichta (Philippine tarsier)
Lineage: Eukaryota; Metazoa; Chordata; Mammalia; Primates; Tarsiidae
Description: Small nucleolar RNA SNORA31 (ENSTSYG00000025254.2)
Source: RNAcentral